CGGGUGAGUAAUGGAUAAGUAACCUGCCCUUAAGUGGGGGAUAACACUUCGAAAGAAGUGCUAAUACCGCAUGUGGUGCUCUUUCACAAGAAGGAUCACUAAAACCGCAAGGUGCUUGAGGAGGGGCUUGUCUCCGAUUAGCUAGUUGGUGGGGUAACGGCCUACCAAGGCGAUGAUCGGUAGCUGGUCUGAGAGGAUGGUCAGCCACACUGGGACUGAGACACGGCCCAGACUCCUACGGGAGGCAGCAGCAAGGAAUCUUGGGCAAUGGGCGAAAGCCUGACCCAGCGACGCCGCGUGAGGGAUGACGGCCUUCGGGUUGUAAACCUCUUUUCUCAGGGAAGAAUAAUGACGGUACCUGAGGAAUAAGUCUCGGCUAACUACGUGCCAGCAGCCGCGGUAAUACGUAGGAGGCGAGCGUUAUCCGGAUUUAUUGGGCGUAAAGUGGGCGUAGGUGGUCUUUCAAGUCGGAUGUGAAAUCUCCCGGCUCAACUGGGAGGGGUCAUCCGAUACUGUUGGACUUGAGUACAGCAGGGGAAAAUGGAAUUCCCGGUGUAGUGGUGAAAUGCGUAGAUAUCGGGAGGAACACCAGAGGCGAAGGCGAUUUUCCAGGCUGAAACUGACACUGAGGCCCGAAAGCGUGGGGAGCGAACAGGAUUAGAUACCCUUGUUGUCCACCCCUUCAACUAUAAAAAAAAAGAAUAGGG
This 707-nucleotide ribosomal RNA is filed under the name uncultured bacterium. RNAcentral describes it as "bacterial SSU rRNA". It matches the Rfam family "Bacterial small subunit ribosomal RNA", at positions 103 to 827 of the family's 1533-position model. The record is from RNAcentral.